This 328-nucleotide ribosomal RNA is filed under the name uncultured eukaryote. RNAcentral describes it as "partial 18S ribosomal RNA". It matches the Rfam family "Eukaryotic small subunit ribosomal RNA", at positions 1470 to 1796 of the family's 1831-position model. The record is from RNAcentral.
CCCUUAGAUGUUCUGGGCUGCACGCGCGCUACACUGAUGCGUUCAACGAGUGUAUCACCUUGCCCGAUAGGGUUGGGUAAUCUUUUGAACACGCAUCGUGAUGGGGAUAGAUUAUUGCAAUUAUUAAUCUUCAACGAGGAAUUCCUAGUAAUGAUGAAUCAUCAGUUCAUCGUGAUUACGUCCCUGCCCUUUGUACACACCGCCCGUCGCACCUACCGAUUGGAUGGUCCGGUGAAGCCUCGGGAUUGUGGUUCUUGCCGCUUUAUUGUGGCGUGACCGCGAGAACUUGUCUAAACCUUAUCAUCUAGAGGAAGGUGAAGUCGUAACA